UAAAGCUUUAUAUAGCUUUUCACUUACACUGAAAAGAAUCUAACAAACAUUAUUUAA
Molecule: transfer RNA, 57 nt
Filed under: Araneae sp. MT-2014
Lineage: Eukaryota; Metazoa; Arthropoda; Arachnida; Araneae
Description: tRNA-Val
Source: RNAcentral